CAGUUCUCUCCUUUUCUAGUCAACCUGCUUGCCUUGCCCUGGACCACGUCUCCGUGACUCCUGUCUCUGCCAACAGGCUGUGGUGGUGCCCCACCUUUGCCCCAAGGGUCUCCCCUGUGACCUUCAGUUACUGAGCUGCACACGAAAGCUGAGGUAAACGAGGAAGCCAGGCCAGCUGCUGGAGAGACAAAUGCAGGGCUGGCUGAGACCAUGAGGCCUGUGGCAGAGGCCUUGAAGAGCCACUGAGCCGCCUGGAGGAGGGCACUGAUGUGAAAGCAGGAGCCCAAAAAGUUCAGGAGACAGUCUCCAAUCACAAGACAAGAGAAACUCUGGCAACUUCCCAAGACCUGUGGUCUCUGCACAUGAGAAGCCAGUGAUGACUGCCUCCGAGCAUUUUUAUCAUGACUUCAAAUGUAGACAGUGAAGAAAAUACAACACGGACAAUAGUUUUGAUGGUCCCAAAUUAAAACUU
Molecule: long non-coding RNA, 472 nt
Organism: Bubalus bubalis (water buffalo)
Lineage: Eukaryota; Metazoa; Chordata; Mammalia; Artiodactyla; Bovidae
Exons: 4
Source: RefSeq, a predicted model, not a curated record